UCUCGAAAUAAAGACGGCCAAUAGAAACCACAUUCUAGCACUUUUCUCGCCGUCCUCUUAGCUCCAAAAUGACCUUCACAUGCAUAAGAAUGACAAAAGGUGAGAAUAGAAAUAAUUUCAUUUUCAGGAACGCACCUUCUUAUCACUUGAUCUGCACAAUGCUUCCAUAAGUAUGGAUCAUACCACACAUAGUAUUUGGCAUCACUCUUGAUCUUAUCUCUUUGAGCCUUAGACAAACCAGAAGGUAACAUAUUAGUAACCAAAUAAUUUACAGGAUUUGCAUACCAAGGUAAUGUCACACUUGUGGAGAACAAUUGCUCAUCAGGGAAUGUUUCCUACAGACUAAUUUCAUCCUCCAUAUGAACUAAACGACUCAAAUGAUCUGCGACACGAUUUUCUGUCCCUCUUUUGUCUUUGAUCUCCAAGUCAAAUUCACUUAAUAGAAGUAUCCAUCUUAUUAAUCUU
RNAcentral lists this long non-coding RNA (465 nucleotides) under Phoenix dactylifera (date palm). Its description in RNAcentral is "long non-coding RNA (PDAC_LNC015145)". The record is from RNAcentral. Lineage: Eukaryota; Viridiplantae; Streptophyta; Magnoliopsida; Arecales; Arecaceae.